Molecule: ribosomal RNA, 332 nt
Filed under: uncultured bacterium
Lineage: Bacteria
Description: bacterial SSU rRNA
Rfam family: Bacterial small subunit ribosomal RNA
Source: RNAcentral
CGUGUAGGCGGCCUUGUAAGUCAGAUGUGAAAUACCUUGGCUUAACCAAGGAAGGGCAUUUGAAACUGCUUGGCUUGAGUACGGGAGGGGGAAGCGGAAUUCCCGGUGUAGAGGUGAAAUUCGUAGAUAUCGGGAGGAACACCGGUGGCGAAGGCGGCUUCCUGGACCGAUACUGACGCUGAGACGCGAAAGCGUGGGGAGCAAACAGGAUUAGAUACCCUGGUAGUCCACGCCCUAAACGUUGGGCACUAGGUGUUGCGGGUAUUGACCCCUGCAGUGCCGAAGCUAACGCAUUAAGUGCCCCGCCUGGGGAGUACGGCCGCAAGGUUAAA